GUGGCUGUAGCUCAAUGGCAGAGCACCGGACUGUGGCUCCGGUGGUUGUGGGUUCGAGUCCCAUCAGCCACCCCA
RNAcentral lists this transfer RNA (75 nucleotides) under candidate division WS1 bacterium. RNAcentral's name for it is "tRNA-His". It matches the Rfam family "tRNA". From Rfam's summary of the family: Transfer RNA (tRNA) molecules are approximately 80 nucleotides in length. Their secondary structure includes four short double-helical elements and three loops (D, anti-codon, and T loops). The record is from RNAcentral. Lineage: Bacteria; Bacillati.